AAUGGAUAAGGUGAAGCUUUUGGAUGCAAAACAAUCCGCUAUAAGUGCUUAUUUGGACUGCUACUGAGGUUGGGUUAAAAGAGCAAUUAAGUUGAUAGUGUUAUCUGUUUUCAGGGUGAAUCACCUGUGAGGUACAAAAAAAGGGACGUAUGGGCCGUCGGUGGAUAAGUUGGGAUGAUUUGGGUUUAGAUUGAGCCACUUAUUACUGGGAAUGAAAGUUUGGUGUACAAUGCAACUUUGGGAGUAGAGAUGAAGAACUUUGGACAUCAAGUAGCAACUAUUUUAUUGGUGAUAAUUGGAGAUUCAACUAGCUCUAAUGUGGUCCAAGAUUUUUAGGGAAAGUAAGUUCAAGACAAACUCAUGAUGCUCAUGAUGUGGAUUGAGCGAAGUUGUAGUUAGAUUAGAUUGUAAAUUUUAGUUUAGUGAACUUGGGAAAAUAAAUCUAUGCUCAUUGAUAUUGUACUUUGGAUGUUAG
Long non-coding RNA from Rosa rugosa (rugosa rose), 475 nucleotides. RefSeq lists it as uncharacterized. The record is from RefSeq and is a predicted model, not a curated record. Lineage: Eukaryota; Viridiplantae; Streptophyta; Magnoliopsida; Rosales; Rosaceae. The transcript is spliced from 6 exons.